This 498-nucleotide ribosomal RNA is filed under the name uncultured bacterium. RNAcentral describes it as "bacterial SSU rRNA". It matches the Rfam family "Bacterial small subunit ribosomal RNA", at positions 30 to 520 of the family's 1533-position model. The record is from RNAcentral.
AUUGAACGCUGGCGGAAUGCUUUACACAUGCAAGUCGAACGGCAGCACGGACUUCGGUCUGGUGGCGAGUGGCGAACGGGUGAGUAAUAUAUCGGAACGUGCCCAGUCGUGGGGGAUAACGUAGCGAAAGUUACGCUAAUACCGCAUACGAUCUAUGGAUGAAAGCGGGGGAUCGCAAGACCUCGCGCGAUUGGAGCGGCCGAUAUCAGAUUAGGUAGUUGGUGGGGUAAAGGCUCACCAAGCCAACGAUCUGUAGCUGGUCUGAGAGGACGACCAGCCACACUGGAACUGAGACACGGUCCAGACUCCUACGGGAGGCAGCAGUGGGGAAUUUUGGACAAUGGACGCAAGUCUGAUCCAGCCAUUCCGCGUGCAGGAUGAAGGCCCUCGGGUUGUAAACUGCUUUUGUACGGAACGAAAAGGUUUCUAUUAAUACUAGGAGCUCAUGACGGUACCGUAAGAAUAAGCACCGGCUAACUACGUGCCAGCAGCCGACGG